MicroRNA precursor from Myotis lucifugus (little brown bat), 88 nucleotides. Ensembl annotates it as microRNA 1225. Lineage: Eukaryota; Metazoa; Chordata; Mammalia; Chiroptera; Vespertilionidae. The record is from Ensembl.
GUGGGUACGGCCCAGUGGGGGGGAGAGGGACGCGCCCUGGGCUCACCAGGGCGCAGCCGGACUAACCGAGCCCCUGUGCCGCCCCCAG